AUUUAUAUAGUUUAAAAAAAACAUUACAUUUUCAUUGUAAAAAUAAAAAAUUUUUUUUUAUAAAUU
Molecule: transfer RNA, 66 nt
Filed under: Bombyx mandarina (wild silkworm)
Lineage: Eukaryota; Metazoa; Arthropoda; Insecta; Lepidoptera; Bombycidae
Description: tRNA-Glu
Source: RNAcentral